UACGUAGGGUGCGAGCGUUACUCGGAAUUACUGGGCGUAAAGGGUGCGCAGGCGGUUCCGCAUGUCGGGCGUGAAAUCCCCGGGCUUAACCUGGGAAUGGCGUCCGAAACUAUGGGACUGGAGUGUGGCAGAGGGAGGUGGAAUUCCACGUGUAGCGGUGAAAUGCGUAGAGAUGUGGAGGAACACCGAUGGCGAAGGCAGCCUCCUGGGCCAACACUGACGCUCAUGCACGAAAGCGUGGGGAGCAAACAGG
This 253-nucleotide ribosomal RNA is filed under the name uncultured bacterium. RNAcentral describes it as "partial 16S ribosomal RNA". It matches the Rfam family "Bacterial small subunit ribosomal RNA", at positions 524 to 776 of the family's 1533-position model. The record is from RNAcentral.